This 531-nucleotide ribosomal RNA is filed under the name Bifidobacterium longum subsp. infantis. Its description in RNAcentral is "bacterial SSU rRNA". It matches the Rfam family "Bacterial small subunit ribosomal RNA", at positions 154 to 700 of the family's 1533-position model. The record is from RNAcentral. Lineage: Bacteria; Bacillati; Actinomycetota; Actinomycetes; Bifidobacteriales; Bifidobacteriaceae. RNAcentral also lists the same sequence under 1 other name.
AAACGGGUGGUAAUGCCGGAUGCUCCAGUUGAUCGCAUGGUCUUCUGGGAAAGCUUUCGCGGUAUGGGAUGGGGUCGCGUCCUAUCAGCUUGACGGCGGGGUAACGGCCCACCGUGGCUUCGACGGGUAGCCGGCCUGAGAGGGCGACCGGCCACAUUGGGACUGAGAUACGGCCCAGACUCCUACGGGAGGCAGCAGUGGGGAAUAUUGCACAAUGGGCGCAAGCCUGAUGCAGCGACGCCGCGUGAGGGAUGGAGGCCUUCGGGUUGUAAACCUCUUUUAUCGGGGAGCAAGCGAGAGUGAGUUUACCCGUUGAAUAAGCACCGGCUAACUACGUGCCAGCAGCCGCGGUAAUACGUAGGGUGCAAGCGUUAUCCGGAAUUAUUGGGCGUAAAGGGCUCGUAGGCGGUUCGUCGCGUCCGGUGUGAAAGUCCAUCGCUUAACGGUGGAUCCGCGCCGGGUACGGGCGGGCUUGAGUGCGGUAGGGGAGACUGGAAUUCCCGGUGUAACGGUGGAAUGUGUAGAUAUCGG